This 85-nucleotide ribosomal RNA is filed under the name Kitasatospora griseola. Lineage: Bacteria; Bacillati; Actinomycetota; Actinomycetes; Kitasatosporales; Streptomycetaceae. RNAcentral also lists the same sequence under 6 other names. The record is from RNAcentral.
GUUUCGGUGGUCAUAGCGUGAGGGAAACGCCCGGUUACAUUCCGAACCCGGAAGCUAAGCCUCACAGCGCCGAUGGUACUGCAGG